UACAGAGGUCCCAAGCGUUGUUCGGAUUCACUGGGCGUAAAGGGUGCGUAGGCGGUCGGGUAAGUCUGUCGUGAAAUCUCCGGGCUUAACUCGGAAAGGUCAACUGAUACUGUGCGACUAGAGUGCGGAAGGGGCAACUGGAAUUCUCGGUGUAGCGGUGAAAUGCGUAGAUAUCUGGAGGAACACCGGUGGCGAAGGCGGCAUCCUGGACCGACACUGACGCUGAGGCGCGAAAGCCAGGGGAGCAAACGGG
RNAcentral lists this ribosomal RNA (253 nucleotides) under uncultured bacterium. Its description in RNAcentral is "partial 16S ribosomal RNA". It matches the Rfam family "Bacterial small subunit ribosomal RNA", at positions 524 to 776 of the family's 1533-position model. The record is from RNAcentral.